CCUACGGGUGGCUGCAGUGGGGAAUAUUGGACAAUGGGCGAAAGCCUGAUCCAGCCAUGCCGCGUGUGUGAAGAAGGCCUUCGGGUUGUAAAGCACUUUCAGUGGGGAAGAAAGCCUUGGGGCUAAUACCCUCGAGGAAGGACAUCACCCACAGAAGAAGCACCGGCUAACUCCGUGCCAGCAGCCGCGGUAAUACGGAGGGUGCGAGCGUUAAUCGGAAUUACUGGGCGUAAAGCGCGCGUAGGCGGUCUGAUAAGCUGGUUGUGAAAGCCCCGGGCUCAACCUGGGAACGGCAUCCGGAACUGUCAGGCUAGAGUGCAGGAGAGGAAGGUAGAAUUCCCGGUGUAGCGGUGAAAUGCGUAGAGAUCGGGAGGAAUACCAGUGGCGAAGGCGGCCUUCUGGACUGACACUGACGCUGAGGUGCGAAAGCGUGGGUAGCAAACAGGAUUAGGUACCCCGGUAGUC
This 465-nucleotide ribosomal RNA is filed under the name Vreelandella stevensii. Its description in RNAcentral is "partial 16S ribosomal RNA". It matches the Rfam family "Bacterial small subunit ribosomal RNA", at positions 338 to 795 of the family's 1533-position model. Lineage: Bacteria; Pseudomonadati; Pseudomonadota; Gammaproteobacteria; Oceanospirillales; Halomonadaceae. The record is from RNAcentral.